GUCCCGACUCUUCUCACGUUCUCUUUCUGGUCGACUCCUGCUUCUACUAGACGGCUCUAUCUCCCUAUCCCUCUCACGAUCACUUUCUCUCCUACCUCGUUCACGUUCCUUCUCUUUGUCUCUCCCAUUACUCUCCUCCUUGUCCCUGUCCUUGACUCUGUGUUCUCAGCUACUCCUGUGCUGUACAAUUCUACAUUCAAGAGCUUGUUGCAAGUGGCAUCUCGGAAGAGGAGAGGAAAGCUUCCAUGGACUCGGUGAACCCUAAAUAUAUUCUCAGGAACUACCUAUGCCAGAGUGCUAUUGAUGCAGCUGAAAUGGGUGAUUUCGAAGAAGUCCGGAGGCUGCUUAAAGUAAUGGAGAGGCCAUAUGAUGAGCAACCGGGAAUGGAAAAAUACGCACGUUUGCCUUUUCAGCAUGGUUGAACUUGAGUUGGUCAUGUGAGUUAUAUCCCACAUCGGUGGUUCUUGGGAAUAAGGGAUAAAGUGGAGUGUAUAAAAGGGAUGGGUUUCAGCAAAUUAAAACAAAACCCUUCUAGCUUGAAUCUAGUUAAAAAACGAGUUUGAAUGGAGUUAAAAAAACAAGUCUGAAUCGAGCUCAAAAACGAGUUUGAAUCGAGCUUAUGAAUUUUUUUGAGUUUGA
Hibiscus syriacus is the source of this 639-nucleotide long non-coding RNA. RefSeq lists it as uncharacterized. The transcript is spliced from 2 exons. The record is from RefSeq and is a predicted model, not a curated record. NCBI's taxonomy places the organism in Eukaryota, Viridiplantae, Streptophyta, Magnoliopsida, Malvales, Malvaceae.